Molecule: ribosomal RNA, 1276 nt
Filed under: metagenome
Description: bacterial SSU rRNA
Rfam family: Bacterial small subunit ribosomal RNA
Source: RNAcentral
UAUAGGAUUAAGAUGGGCAUGCGUGUCAUUAGCUAGUUGGCGGGGUAACGGCCCACCAAGGCGACGAUGACUUGGGGAUCUGAGAGGAUGACCCCCCACACUGGUACUGAGACACGGACCAGACUCCUACGGGAGGCAGCAGUAAGGAAUAUUGGUCAAUGGAGGCAACUCUGAACCAGCCAUGCCGCGUGCAGGAAGACAGCCCUCUGGGCCGUAGACUGCUUUUAUUCGGGAAUAAACCACAUUACGUGUAAUGUGCUGAAUGUACCGAAGGAAUAAGGAUCGGCUAACUCCGUGCCAGCAGCCGCGGUAAUACGGAGGAUCCAAGCGUUAUCCGGAUUUAUUGGGUUUAAAGGGUGCGUAGGCGGCUUAUUAAGUCAGGGGUGAAAGACGGUGGCUCAACCAUCGCAGUGCCUUUGAUACUGAUGAGCUUGAAUACACUAGAGGUAGGCGGAAUGUGACAAGUAGCGGUGAAAUGCAUAGAUAUGUCACAGAACACCGAUUGCGAAGGCAGCUUACUAUGGUGUGAUUGACGCUGAGGCACGAAAGCGUGGGGAUCAAACAGGAUUAGAUACCCUGGUAGUCCACGCCCUAAACGAUGAAUACUCGCUGUUAGCGAUAUACAGUUAGCGGCUAAGCGAAAGCGUUAAGUAUUCCACCUGGGGAGUACGCCCGCAAGGGUGAAACUCAAAGGAAUUGACGGGGGCCCGCACAAGCGGAGGAGCAUGUGGUUUAAUUCGAUGAUACGCGAGGAACCUUACCCGGGCUUGAAAGUUAGUGAAUCAUUUAGAGGUAGAUGAGUCCGCAAGGACACGAAACUAGGUGCUGCAUGGCUGUCGUCAGCUCGUGCCGUGAUGUGUUGGGUUAAGUCCCGCAACGAGCGCAACCCCUUAUGUUUAGUUGCCAGCACGUUAUGGUGGGGACUCUAAACAGACUGCCUGUGCAAACAGAGAGGAAGGAGGGGACGACGUCAAGUCAUCAUGGCCCUUACGUCCGGGGCUACACACGUGCUACAAUGGAUGGUACAGAGGGCAGCAAGCUGGCAACAGCAAGCGAAUCUCAAAAAGCCAUUCACAGUUCGGAUAGAGGUCUGCAACUCGACCUCUUGAAGUUGGAUUCGCUAGUAAUCGCGUAUCAGCAAUGACGCGGUGAAUACGUUCCCGGGCCUUGUACACACCGCCCGUCAAGCCAUGGAAGUUGGGGGUACCUAAAGUAUGUAACCGCAAGGAGCGUCCUAGGGUAAAACCGAUAACUGGGGCUAAGUCGUAACAAGGUA